RNAcentral lists this long non-coding RNA (1119 nucleotides) under Malus domestica (apple). Its description in RNAcentral is "long non-coding RNA (MDOM_LNC019064)". Lineage: Eukaryota; Viridiplantae; Streptophyta; Magnoliopsida; Rosales; Rosaceae. The record is from RNAcentral.
CGGCUUGGCAUGAGCCAAGAAGGUGGUGUGUCAAGGGCCAUUGCUUGUGCUGCUCGGCUUGAUUAAAGCCAAGGAUUGGCUCGGCAUGGGAUGAGGAAGUGGCGUGGAAUGGGCAACGGUAUGGGCUGCUUGCCAAAAAUAAGGAGCUUGAGUUUGAUUUCUCAGCUGCCGUAGAUGAGGCAGUCAAGGGUGGAGCUGCCAAGAUCGAAGCUGUUGAAGAUGAAGUGUCAGAUGAGCGAACUGUUAAGUGCAAAAGUGACUGUUGCCCUAUAACCAUUUGCUGCCUAGUUGAUCUUUAAACAUUCGAUCUUUUGAGCUAUGUGGCAUUCUCACACUGGAAAGCUUACCUAGAUGGGUGUUGGGGAAUUAGUUUACCCUCUCACACUGGAGAGCAAUUAGUUUACCCUCUCGCACUAAAGAGCAAUUAGUUUACCCUCUCGCACUAGAGAGCAAUUAGUUUAUCCUCUCGCAUCGGAGAGCAAACCCAUAUAGGUGUCGGGGAAUUAGUUCUCGCACUGGAGAACAAUUAGUUUAUCCUCUCGCACUGGAUAGCAAACCUAUAUGGGUGUCGGGGAAUUGGUUUACCAUCUCGCACUGGAAAACAAUUAGUUAUCCUUUCGCACUGGAGAGCAAACCUAUAUGGGUGUCGGGAAAUUUAUUUACUUUCUCGCACUGGAGAACAAUUAGUUUAUCCUAUCGCACUGGAUAGCAAACCCAUAUGGGUGUCGAGGGAAUUGGUUUACCCUUUCGCACUGGAAAGCAAUUAGUUUAUCAUCUCGCACUGGAUAGCAGACCUAUAUGGGUGUUGGGGAAUUGGUUUACCCUCUCGCACUGGAGAGCAAUUAGUUUAUCAUCUCGCACUGGAGAGCAGACCAAUAAAUGGUUUUGAGCAGCUGUUGUGGACAGCAGUUGAGGAAAACGGACAACUGAAAUAAUCAUCAGCCUGCGAGGUCUUGUUUGGGGAACUGCUUGAGACUUCGAACUGCUUGUGGAACCCACGUAAGGGUGUAAGUACAGCGAGCUGCUUCCAGAAUUAUUGUGCCAUCAUUAGGUGUUUCAUUGUGUGUGUUUUUGAGACUUGGUUGACACAAGCAACAUGGCAAAAUCAGCACGGGUGGG